RNAcentral lists this transfer RNA (70 nucleotides) under Heterocephalus glaber (naked mole-rat). It matches the Rfam family "tRNA". Rfam says of the family: Transfer RNA (tRNA) molecules are approximately 80 nucleotides in length. Their secondary structure includes four short double-helical elements and three loops (D, anti-codon, and T loops). Lineage: Eukaryota; Metazoa; Chordata; Mammalia; Rodentia; Bathyergidae. The record is from Rfam by way of RNAcentral.
GGGGAUGUAGCUCAGUGGUAGAGCACUUGCCUAGCAAGCAUAAGGCCCUGGGUUCAGUCCCUUGCACCCG